This 253-nucleotide ribosomal RNA is filed under the name uncultured bacterium. RNAcentral's name for it is "partial 16S ribosomal RNA". It matches the Rfam family "Bacterial small subunit ribosomal RNA", at positions 524 to 776 of the family's 1533-position model. The record is from RNAcentral.
UACGUAGGGUGCAAGCGUUGUCCGGAAUUAUUGGGCGUAAAGAGCGUGUAGGCGGCCCGACCAGUCCGCUGUGAAAGUCCAGGGCUCAACCCUGGAAUGCCGGUGGAUACUGUCGGGCUAGAGUCCGGAAUGGGCGAGUGGAAUUCCUGGUGUAGCGGUGAAAUGCGCAGAUAUCAGGAGGAACACCAAUGGCGAAGGCAGCUCGCUGGGACGUGACUGACGCUGAGACGCGAAAGCGUGGGGAGCGAACAGG